GACCGGCGCACGGGUGCGUAACGCGUAUGCAACCUGCCCAUUCCCGGGGGAUAGCCCGCCGAAAGGCGGAUUAAUACCCCCAUGGACCCUUAGCCCCGCAUGGGGCGGAGGGUAAAGCUCCGGCGGGAAUGGAUGGGCAUGCGUGCCAUUAGCUGGUUGGUAGGGUAACGGCUUACCAAGGCUACGAUGGCUAGGGGGUCUGGGAGGAUGAUCCCCCACACUGGUACUGAGACACGGACCAGACUCCUACGGGAGGCAGCAGUGAGGAAUAUUGGUCAAUGGGCGGAAGCCUGAACCAGCCAUGCCGCGUGCAGGACGACGGCCCUACGGGUUGUAAACUGCUUUUCCGGGGGAAGAAUAACCGCCCUGCGGGGCGGGAUGCCGGUACCCCGGGAAUAAGGAUCGGCUAACUCCGUGCCAGCAGCCGCGGUAAUACGGAGGAUCCUAGCGUUAUCCGGAUUUACUGGGUUUAAAGGGUGCGUAGGCGGGCGUUUAAGUCCGCGGUGAAAGUCUGCGGCUCAACCGUAGGAUUGCCGUGGAUACUGGACGUCUUGGAUUCGGUCGGGGCGGGGCGAAUUGCGUGGUGUAGCGGUGAAAUGCAUAGAUAUCACGCAGAACGCCGAUAGCGAAGGCAGCUCGCCGGGCCGACAUCGACGCUGAGGCACGAAAGCGUGGGGAUCAAACAGGAUUAGAUACCCUGGUAGUCCACGCCGUAAACGAUGAUGGCUGGGUGUUGGCGAUACACCGUCAGCGCCUGAGGGAAACCAUAA
Molecule: ribosomal RNA, 770 nt
Filed under: uncultured bacterium
Lineage: Bacteria
Description: bacterial SSU rRNA
Rfam family: Bacterial small subunit ribosomal RNA
Source: RNAcentral